AGCAUACAAGGCAUACGGCUCAGUAACGCGUAGUCAACCUAACCUAUGGACGGGAAUAACCUCGGGAAACUGAGAAUAAUGCCCGAUAGAACAUUAUGCCUGGAAUGGUUUAUGUUCCAAAUGAUUUAUCGCCGUAGGAUGGGACUGCGGCCUAUCAGUUUGUUGGUGAGGUAAUGGCCCACCAAGACUAUUACAGGUACGGGCUCUGAGAGGAGUAGCCCGGAGAUGGGUACUGAGACACGGACCCAGGCCCUAUGGGGCGCAGCAGGCGAGAAAACUUUGCAAUGUGCGAAAGCACGACAAGGUUAAUCCGAGUGGUUUCUGCUAAAGAAACCUUUUGUCAGUCCUAGAAACACUGAUGAAUAAGGGGUGGGCAAGUUCUGGUGUCAGCCGCCGCGGUAAAACCAGCACCUCAAGUGGUCAGGAUGAUUAUUGGGCCUAAAGCAUCCGUAGCCGGCUCUGUAAGUUUUCGGUUAAAUCUGUACGCUCAACGUACGGGCUGCCGGGAAUACUGCAGAGCUAGGGAGUGGGAGAGGUAGACGGUACUCGGUAGGAAGGGGUAAAAUCCUUUGAUCUAUUGAUGACCACCUGUGGCGAAGGCGGUCUACCAGAACACGUCCGACGGUGAGGGAUGAAAGCUGGGGGAGCAAACCGGAUUAGAUACCCGGGUAGUCCCAGCUGUAAACUAUGCAAACUCAGUGAUGCAUUGGCUUGUGGCCAAUGCAGUGCUGCAGGGAAGCCGUUAAGUUUGCCGCCUGGGAAGUACGUACGCAAGUAUGAAACUUAAAGGAAUUGGCGGGGGAGCACCACAAGGGGUGAAGCCUGCGGUUCAAUUGGAGUCAACGCCGGG
Molecule: ribosomal RNA, 850 nt
Filed under: uncultured crenarchaeote
Lineage: Archaea; Thermoproteati; Thermoproteota
Description: bacterial SSU rRNA
Rfam family: Archaeal small subunit ribosomal RNA
Source: RNAcentral